This is a non-coding RNA of Salvia hispanica, 849 nucleotides long. Lineage: Eukaryota; Viridiplantae; Streptophyta; Magnoliopsida; Lamiales; Lamiaceae. The record is from RefSeq and is a predicted model, not a curated record.
UAAAUGAAGUACUCAAAAUUUACUCUGCGUUUUAAACUCUCCACCGCCGGUCUCUCUCUCCUUGCUCCGCCGCCGCUCUCCGCAUUUCGGUAACGACCUACACAAUCGAACACCGCCGCCGCCGAUCUCCAGCGGCGAUCGAACACCAAUCCUCCACAUCUAACAAUCGAACACCAAGCCUCCUCAUUCUUCCGCCGAUCUCUACUAUUCUCCACAUCUGCACACAAUCGAACACCAAGCCUCCUCGUUCCCCCGCCGCUCUCUGCUUUUCUCCACCGCCGCAUACAAUCGAACACCAAGCCUCCUCGUUCCGCCGCCGCUCUCUCUCCGCUUUUUCCACCGCCGCCGCUCUCCACUAUUCUCCACCGCCUGUUGCUCUCAAGCUCCAAGGAGGUAUAUACAGUUCGCGAUUCAAUCACAGUAAUAAAUUUCGGUGAUUGUUGAGUCUAGUCUUCUGAAACAGAAGGAUACAACAAGGUUGAUGUUGAUGCUGCUAAUAAGUUGAAGGGUUCAAGAUGAACUUGAUCUACUUUGAUCUCUACCAGUCCACUCAUCUGGAGAAGUUCGUUACUGCCUAUGGGGACUUCCUCAAGGCGAAUGGAGAGGCGACGACGUAUCAUUUGGUGAAUAAGGAGAGGAUGGUGAAGAUGAAGAAGGCAAGUUGCAAUGGUGCGGGAGAAAGCGGAUACGUGUAUGGUUAGCCAUUUGAGAUGCAUAGCAAGGCUACGCUGUUUUCGUCCACGUCCCCGGGAUCAUGCUCUGUAUUCAAAUUCAUAUAUUUUUUGCAUUUCAAAUUCAAAUGCACUGUAAAAAAAUUUCAUCAAUAUAAUGUCAUUUCCAUUUGGUUUA